UGGGGGGACAUAAACAAAGUUUCUAUACAAAGUUGCUGUAACGUUGUUUGCUAAGUGAAUAUCAAUGUGAUCUAUCUUUGAGAGGAUGAUUAACAUUUUAUUAAGAGCAAUCACGUUUUUUUCUAUUUAAGUGGAUUGAAAGUUAAUUCAUAAUGAAGUAAAGUGGUGGGAAGUUCGAAAGAGGAAAACCAAAGUAUGCCCCAUCGCCAACGACCUGCCACGAGCUCAUAUGUGCAUCCAAGGAUUAGCAUCAACAUUAAGACGAGUUCGUUUUGGGUUUAUAUUGGCGACUUAAGGUA
Molecule: long non-coding RNA, 299 nt
Organism: Lycium barbarum (goji berry)
Lineage: Eukaryota; Viridiplantae; Streptophyta; Magnoliopsida; Solanales; Solanaceae
Exons: 3
Source: RefSeq, a predicted model, not a curated record